Molecule: ribosomal RNA, 776 nt
Filed under: uncultured Neocallimastigales
Lineage: Eukaryota; Fungi; Neocallimastigomycota; Neocallimastigomycetes; Neocallimastigales
Description: partial large subunit ribosomal RNA
Rfam family: Eukaryotic large subunit ribosomal RNA
Source: RNAcentral
AGAGAGAGACAUGCGCGCAUAUCAAUAAGCGGAGGAAAAGAAACUAACAAGGAUUCCCUUAGUAACGGCGAGUGAAGCGGGAAGAGCUCAAAUUUGAAAUCUUCAAGGUUUUACCUUGACGAAUUGUAGUUUAAAGAAGUGUUUUCUGCUGAAGUUUUGGUAAAAGUUCUUUGGAAUAGGACAUCAUAGAGGGUGAGAAUCCCGUAUUUGACCAUUAUUUUCAGCUUUGUGAUAACACUUUCAAAGAGUCGGAUUGUUUGGGAAUGCAGUCCAAAAUGGGUGGUAAAUUUCAUCUGAAGCUAAAUAUUGGCGAGAGACCGAUAGCGAACAAGUACCGUGAGGGAAAGAUGAAAAGAACUUUGAAAAGAGAGUUAAACAGUACGUGAAAUUGUCAAAAGGGAAGCGUUUGACACCAGUGUUGUUUUCUCGAAAAUCAAUUAAAAAUGGCUCGAUUUUGUAUUGUUGAGACCUUAAAAGCUCACUGUACAUUUUUCGUGUCUUUUUUAAUGCACUUUUCGUUUAACAAGUCAACAUCAGUUUCUUUUGUUGUAAAAGGGUCAUUGGAAGGUGGCUUUCUUUUCGGAGAAAGUGUUUAUAGCCUUUGGCCUCUGCAAUCGGAGAGACUGAGGUCUGCAGCGUAGACUCUUCGGGGUUAGAUACAUUUGUGCUAAGUUAUAGCUUUUUAUAGACAACUUGUUGACUAUAAUUAGGUCUUGUAGCUUACUCGCUUAUGCUAUUUUACCUACGCUUAGGAUGUUGAGUCGUAGAGCACGCAG